RNAcentral lists this ribosomal RNA (438 nucleotides) under Triticum aestivum (bread wheat). RNAcentral's name for it is "partial small subunit ribosomal RNA". Lineage: Eukaryota; Viridiplantae; Streptophyta; Magnoliopsida; Poales; Poaceae. The record is from RNAcentral.
AUGACUCUGGUUUCUCUUGUUGCGUGUGAGGGCUGUGGAGCUGAUCAUUAUAUGUAUUAUGUUGUUGAUGAGGAGAAAGGAAUAGAAGGUCUAGAGCAUGUUGGUUGUGAAGAUGAUGUGCAGCAGAUGUUGAUCCAAUUUGAUAAGGAAAAGAUUGUGAACAUACGAGUUGUCAGAGCAGACGAGCCUUGUAAUACAGAUGAAAAUAGAGAUAGUUAUUUUGCUGAACAUUGCAUUAACACACAACAAAGUUGCACGAAGCUGGUGGAUGCAACCAAAGACAGAAAGGAUGAGCUUAAGAACAACAAUCUUCAGGAGCGGCCACCAGUGCAAGAGGAGGAAGCAUGCUCAUCUAGCAAGAAAAACAAGGCCAAAAAGCAAAGCAUCGAAGGUCCUGUUCGUCGUUCAGAGCGUCUUCGUCUGCUGCGGAAGGACUGA